Molecule: non-coding RNA, 183 nt
Filed under: unclassified sequences
Description: RT-15 RNA
Rfam family: RT-15 RNA
About the family: Proteobacteria. Nearby to self-splicing intron genes
Source: Rfam by way of RNAcentral
CGUCGCCCGCUUCACGGAGGCUAAGGUUUCCAUGACUGAGCGAUUCUCUAAUCUGGUCGUGCCGCUGCCCCACAAAGGCACCGACAUGCGCACUCAGGAUACCGACGGCUUGACGCCGGCCAGGUCCCGCGCAGUUUCCCCGCUGAAUAGUCGGCGAGGCGACGUAGAAAGCACGAUAUCUCC